Molecule: ribosomal RNA, 1146 nt
Filed under: Triticum aestivum (bread wheat)
Lineage: Eukaryota; Viridiplantae; Streptophyta; Magnoliopsida; Poales; Poaceae
Description: partial small subunit ribosomal RNA
Source: RNAcentral
AUGUUCUGGAGGAACACCAAGCGGAGGCUGGGCAGCCAUCCGGGGGAGACGGCGGCCUGCCUGCUCACCGAUGACCUCAUCCUGGAGAUCCUUUGCCGUCUCCCUGCGAGAUCCGUUCAUCGCUUCAAGUGUGUCUCUGUACUCUGGCGUGACCUCAUCGCCGACCCCGCCAACCGCAAGAAGUUGCCCCAGGCCCUCGCUGGCUUCCUCUACACGACCAUCAGCAACAACAGGCGACACCACCACUUUGCCAGCGUCUCCGAUGCAGCAAUCCCGUUUGACCCUCCCCUCCCUUACCUGCAGCCAAACAAGUACAAUGGCAUCACCCAGGUGGAUGCCUGCAAUGGCCUCCUUCUCUACCGCCGCUACAACAGCAAGGAUGAUUCCCAUUUGGUCGUGUGCAAUCCCACCACCAGGAGGUGGUUUGAGCUGCCCCCUCAACCGCUGGAGCUGGCAAACAGACGUACCCGUACCACCGGUCUGGCUUUCGACCCGGCGGUCUCGUCCCAUUUCCAUGUUCUUCAUUUCGAGCAUUCCUAUCUGGAAAUUUACAUCACUCGAGUGAACAUCUACUCCUCCUGGACAGGAGCCUGGAGCCAUAGGAAUUGUGGGACAGCCGACAAAUAUACGUUAUUUUUCGGUGGUAGAUGCGUCUUUGUUGGCGGCUUGCUCUACGUGAUGGGCAACCAUAAUUACAUCAUCGACGAUUAUGUGUUGCUGGGGGUAGACAUGGAGGGCAAAGUGUGUAAGACCAUCAGUGUGCCGUACGGCCGAGGAUUUGGUAUGAUUGGAUCAUCUCAGGUGUGCUUACACUAUGCUAUACCUUCCUUCGAUGAUAACAAGCAAAUCUCUAGGAUAGAACUCUGGUGCCUCCAGGAUUGUGAUAGUAAAGAGUUGGUCCUAAAGCAUACUGCCAGAUUCAAUGAGCUUAUGAGCUUGACUGCGAAGAAGCACAUGAUUGUUGGGAUUCAUCCAGAUUGUGACACCAUUUUCCUGCUUUCACGUGGACAUGGUACCUUGGUAGCGUACGAUAUGCAACAUAAGCAAGUUGGAUGUAUCUUUAAGCUUGAGAAAAACAGUACACAACGAUAUCUAGCCUAUGUUCCUCUGUUCACAGAGUCAUUAGCAGAUGCAGGCGGGCAGUAG